RNAcentral lists this ribosomal RNA (465 nucleotides) under uncultured Allobrachymonas sp. RNAcentral's name for it is "bacterial SSU rRNA". It matches the Rfam family "Bacterial small subunit ribosomal RNA", at positions 912 to 1382 of the family's 1533-position model. Lineage: Bacteria; Pseudomonadati; Pseudomonadota; Betaproteobacteria; Burkholderiales; Comamonadaceae. The record is from RNAcentral.
GACGGGGCCGCACAAGCAGUGGAGCAUGUGGUUUAAUUCGAUGCAACGCGAAGAACCUUACCUGGGCUUGAACUGCAGGCGUAGUCGCUUGAAAGGGCGGCGAACUCCUUCGGGAAGACCUGUAGAGGUGCUGCAUGGCUGUCGUCAGCUCGUGUCGUGAGAUGUUGGGUUAAGUCCCGCAACGAGCGCAACCCUUGCCAUUAGUUGCUACGAAAGGGCACUCUAAUGGGACUGCCGGUGACAAACCGGAGGAAGGUGGGGAUGACGUCAAGUCCUCAUGGCCCUUAUAGGUGGGGCUACACACGUCAUACAAUGGCCGGUACAGAGGGUAGCCAACCCGCGAGGGGGAGCCAAUCCCACAAAGCCGGUCGUAGUCCGGAUCGCAGUCUGCAACUCGACUGCGUGAAGUCGGAAUCGCUAGUAAUCGCGGAUCAGCAUGUCGCGGUGAAUACGUUCCCGGGUCUU